This 313-nucleotide long non-coding RNA is filed under the name Ananas comosus (pineapple). RNAcentral's name for it is "long non-coding RNA (ACOM_LNC041288)". Lineage: Eukaryota; Viridiplantae; Streptophyta; Magnoliopsida; Poales; Bromeliaceae. The record is from RNAcentral.
AUUAUGAGUAUAGAUUCUUUUCUACUCACAGGUUUUCGAAUUAAUUUUAAGAUUAAUUUCCGAUUUAAAUUCAAAAUUUUGAAAUUUUAUUUUUGGGUAUAAAAGUGAAAAAUAAUGUUUAGGGACUAAAAUUGAUAUGCAAAAGAAAGCAAAAAAGGCGAUGGCAUGAUAAUAUCGUUAAUUCUAAAACUUUUUUUAACAGUACUAUUUUAUUGCGAUGAAAUCAAGAGAUUUGAAAAUUUGAUUGCAAAAAAAAGAUUAAGGACCAAAGUAAAAAAUAGUGAAAAGGUUAGGACCAAUGUGUGAUUAAUUU